Musa acuminata AAA Group (dessert banana) is the source of this 1578-nucleotide RNA transcript. It is a transcript of the gene named EID1-like F-box protein 2, with no coding region annotated. The record is from RefSeq and is a predicted model, not a curated record. Lineage: Eukaryota; Viridiplantae; Streptophyta; Magnoliopsida; Zingiberales; Musaceae. The transcript has 4 exons.
CCGUAGUUUCCUGCUGUCGUCUCUCCUCACGGAAGGACAACUGGACGGUGUCGGAUUCGCCUGUCGGACGAAACUGCCCCCGGAAAAGGACAAAGUUUGGACGAACUUGUCCAUGGAUCCGAUGGUGUUUCUGUGAUUCCGCGCUAUGUGAGCGGCUCUCUUUUUAGCCCACUGCUCUUCCGUCGUCGCUAGGCGCUCUGAGACGAGAUCGCCCCUCUUCUGAGCUCUUCCUCGACUGUGACCGAGGGGUAAACGAGAGGGUUUUCUCUUCUCAGUCACUUGUUCUCGGAGUAGGGAGGAGCGGGAAGCGGUUUGAUGCUUCAGAAGAUGAGCAGGUUAUUCGAUCAGUGAGCACUUGUUUGCUGGAGAGGUAUUGAGGCAUGACUGUGUAAUUCGUUGUGGAUUGUUGGCAAAAUGUUGGUACCAAAGCAAUAUCGAUGCACCCAUUCGGCUGCUUGCAUAUGCAUCAAAGGUCACCUGAGCGAGGAUGCCAUCUUUCUUGUUUUUGAGCAUCUGAACUGGAAUCCUAGAUUGAUUGCGCUAAUGUCGUGUGUUUGCAAAUGGUUUGAUGAGAUUGCCAAACGGAUAUUGUGGAAAGAGUUCUGUCGAACAAGGGCCCCAAAAAUGAUGCUGGAUUUGCAGUCCUGUGGAAGUCAUAGUGUCGAUGGAAACUGGAAAGCACUUGGAAAGCUUCUCAUCUAUUGUUCAGGUUGCAGCCAGAGGGGCCUCUUUAAUAUCACUUGUGUCCCAGGUCACUUUGUGCACAGGACUAGGUUUUCGAGGACUUCAGGAAAGAGCUUUCUUAUUCCGCAGUGCAGGACAGAUGUCUUGUAUGUGUGUGACCCUUGUGAACAUCUAGAUCAAGGAGAUGAUGGCGAUGUAGGAUUCUUCCGCGGUGUGUUCAAGUCAUUUUCUGCUUCGAAGGUUAGAAAGAUGCUGAUCGAAAGGCAGGCCAAACUCCACUCCACAGAGGUGUGUCCAUAUUGCAAGGCAAAAUUGUGGAACAUGAUGCAGGCAAAGAUGAUACCAAGGAGCGCUUGCAUCAGGUUGGGUGCAUAUGAUGAUAGUGUUGAGUGUUAUGUAUGUCUGAAUGGGCACAUGCUUGGAACAAGCUCUCUCCUGCCACUCUCUGAUUCUGACGAGGCAUCUGACUUUGAACAGUGCUCAAAAUUUGACUAAGGGAUUUCCAAGUUCGAAGGCCAAAACUCUGUUUGUGAAUCUUGGAGUGUUUUUGAUCUGCUUGGUUAAGGGAUAAAGAAAGGAAACAUGGUUUUCAACCGAAAGUCACUUGCGGGUACUAUGUUUGUAAGGUUGGCACAUCAUCAUAGUGAACAGAGAAGAAUGGAUGCAUUGAAACUAAACCUUGAAGCUUUACUGGGUUUUGGUGGAACUCAGUGUUCACAAGGACCAAGUUGGCGUAUCGUCUGCGAACACUGAAAUGAGUACGUAGAUAUACACUGGGGUCUGCAUAUUUGAUGGUAAUUUAGUCUUUCUCAUAAUGCAAACUAUGAUGGUAAUUAGGCAUGCUUUUGUCUUGAUGUAAACGUACAGCUAUAACAGAGAAGACCAAAUUUUCUA